This 61-nucleotide transfer RNA is filed under the name Eutreptiella gymnastica. It matches the Rfam family "tRNA", at positions 6 to 65 of the family's 71-position model. Rfam says of the family: Transfer RNA (tRNA) molecules are approximately 80 nucleotides in length. Their secondary structure includes four short double-helical elements and three loops (D, anti-codon, and T loops). Lineage: Eukaryota; Euglenozoa; Euglenophyceae; Eutreptiales; Eutreptiaceae. The record is from RNAcentral.
GAUAGCUCAGUGGUAGAGCUUCCGUCUCCUAGGCAGCAGGUCGCGGAUUUAAAUCCCGCUC